RNAcentral lists this transfer-messenger RNA (401 nucleotides) under bovine gut metagenome. It matches the Rfam family "transfer-messenger RNA". From Rfam's summary of the family: Bacterial tmRNA, also known as 10Sa RNA or SsrA, is named for its dual tRNA and mRNA-like properties. Its role is to liberate the mRNA from a stalled ribosome. The record is from RNAcentral.
GGGCCGGAAUGGAUUUGACAGCAGGAGAAAGGGUACGUAAGCACGCAGUGCGCCUUGAGAGUGGGCACUUAAAACUCGGCUCUUAAAAAAUUUAACUGGCGAAAACAGAAUGGCUCUCGCUGCUUGAUCUGAAGUAUAGUAGGAUCGCUUUAUUCUGACUCCAGGAGUUGGAACGAGACAUCGCCCAAAAAGCCGUUUUUUCCGAGGCGUUUUGAAAUGGCGGUGCAGGAAAAUCGGGAAUAGUCUGCGGCGGCCUCGCGCCAUAGGCGAAACUUUAGAGGAUAAGGUGUCGGUUGGUAGCUUCGGUCUUGCCGACACACGAAAAUCAAAGCGAAGAUAAGCGUGUAGAAAGCGUAUUGGUUCCCUGUUUGGACGAGGGUUCAAUCCCCUCCCGGUCCACU